GUCAAAACGAAUGAACAAUAUUAUAUUGUUUACAAACUUCUUAAGUUGGUGCACAUUCUUCCUGUAGCCACUGCUAGUGUUGAGAGGGUAUUUUCCUCAAUGUAAUACAUGAAGAAUCCACUAAUAAACAAAACGGGUGAUGAAUAUUUAAACAAUUGCUUGGUUGAAUUAGUUGAGAGAUAA
RNAcentral lists this ribosomal RNA (183 nucleotides) under Triticum aestivum (bread wheat). RNAcentral describes it as "partial small subunit ribosomal RNA". Lineage: Eukaryota; Viridiplantae; Streptophyta; Magnoliopsida; Poales; Poaceae. The record is from RNAcentral.